AGAACCAAUUUGAGUCACUGCAUGUGUCUGUGGUCUCUGCAUGGACACCUCAGAGCUAGGAAUCACUUCUCGUGUUACGACAAGGAGUGGCGAAGAGACAGUGGAUCAACAGAUGCUUCAAUGCCAGAUCCCCAAAAGGGGCUGAUUUCGCGUGAUAGGGAAAUGAAGAGGAGAGGAGGACGACAGGGAGAGAAAGGAGGAAAAACUGCGAAGGAAGAACAAGCCGGAGCUCCGUCUGCCUUUCAGAAAUGACAUCUCUGCGGAAUUCAAUGCGGCCUAUUCUCAAGCAUCGGAGAAACUCUUUUCUUGCCUCCUCCUUCACCCCACCCCAACCAGAUUAGAAAAAAAAAAUUAAUGGUGUAUGAUGACAAACUUGGCUCAGCACUCACUGUACAUACUGUACCCACAAGUCUGGCUCGCAGCCAGGCCUGGCCUGGAGCCAGGACUACAAUAACAAACACAGGCAAUGCUCGCCAAGAGGGGGUGGGGCAGCACACAGAGCUAGCCAGGAAGUGAGAGCCGUUCGGCUCUGCUGAGCAGAAGAAAACAGCAGGAAUGUGCCAGUGCAAGGGCAGCAACAUUUAGGGGGGCAACCACAACCCCUACCCAGAUCCUGGACUCACUUCUCCACAGCCUGCGCCUUUUGAAAAAAAAUGCUCGCCUCCCCCCCGCCUCCCCCGCCCAGGGUUCUGGAGCAACUACUGUUCUUCCAGGCUGUGGGCUGCUUGAACCCUUGGUCAUCUGUAAAAUGGGUCUACUCUACAGACCUGGCACACCCAUUCUCACUGUCAGCUUUCUUCAUGGAACCUUCAAAAUA
Molecule: long non-coding RNA, 817 nt
Filed under: Homo sapiens (human)
Lineage: Eukaryota; Metazoa; Chordata; Mammalia; Primates; Hominidae
Description: HSALNT0364946
Source: RNAcentral